GAAAAAAAUUCUAAGGUUCAGCAGAAACCGAACCCCUCAAAAAGCCCAAUAUUUAGCCAAAUCUGAUGCCGAAUCCUGGAUUCGGUGCAUCCCUUAUAUAAAUCACAGCAAU
Molecule: long non-coding RNA, 112 nt
Organism: Etheostoma spectabile (orangethroat darter)
Lineage: Eukaryota; Metazoa; Chordata; Actinopteri; Perciformes; Percidae
Exons: 3
Source: RefSeq, a predicted model, not a curated record